RNAcentral lists this long non-coding RNA (730 nucleotides) under Parus major (Great Tit). Its description in RNAcentral is "lncRNA (ENSPMJG00000004482.1)". Lineage: Eukaryota; Metazoa; Chordata; Aves; Passeriformes; Paridae. The record is from RNAcentral.
CCAGGUCCUGCAGAGCCUGGAGGGGAUCCCGCUGCCAACAGGUGAGAACAGACAGGUGAGAGGGGACAGGUGAGAGGGGACAGGUGAGGACAGGUGAGGACAGGUGAGAACAGGUGAGACAUGGACAGGUGAGACAGGUGAGAGGGGACAGGUGAGACAUGGACAGGUGAGACAUGGACAGGUGAGACAGGUGAGACAUGGACAGGUGAGACAUGGACAGGUGAGGGGACAGGUGAGACAGGUGAGGACAGGUGAGAACAGACAGGUGAGACAUGGACAGGUGAGAAUGGACAGGUGAGAGGGGACAGGUGAGACAGGUGAGGACAGACAGGUGAGAACAGGUGAGACAUGGACAGGUGAGGGACAGGUGGGACAGGGACAGGUGAGAGGGGACAGGGACAGAUGGACACAGUGACAAUGCCAAGGUGACAAUGACAGAGGUGACAGUGACAGAGGUGACAAAGGUGACAGUUCCAGCUCACCACGUCCACCUGCAGCAGCAGCACCUGGAUGGGGACAGGUGAGGGACAGGUGGGACAGGGACAGGUGAGGGGACAGGUGGGACAGGGACAGGUGCGAGGGGACAGGGACACAGUGACACGGUGACAAUGCCAAGGUGACAAUGCCAAGGUGACAGAGGUGACAGUGACAGAGGUGACAGAGGUGACAGUGCCAGCUCACCACGUCCACCUGCAGCAGCAGCACCUGGAGGCCGAAGCUCCGCCCCAGA